Molecule: ribosomal RNA, 560 nt
Filed under: uncultured bacterium
Lineage: Bacteria
Description: partial 16S ribosomal RNA
Rfam family: Bacterial small subunit ribosomal RNA
Source: RNAcentral
UAGGGAAUCUUCGGCAAUGGACGAAAGUCUGACCGAGCAACGCCGCGUGAGUGAAGAAGGUUUUCGGAUCGUAAAACUCUGUUGGUAGAGAAGAACGUUGGUGAGAGUGGAAAGCUCAUCAAGUGACGGUAACUACCCAGAAAGGGACGGCUAACUACGUGCCAGCAGCCGCGGUAAUACGUAGGUCCCGAGCGUUGUCCGGAUUUAUUGGGCGUAAAGCGAGCGCAGGUGGUUUAUUAAGUCUGGUGUAAAAGGCAGUGGCUCAACCAUUGUAUGCAUUGGAAACUGGUAGACUUGAGUGCAGGAGAGGAGAGUGGAAUUCCAUGUGUAGCGGUGAAAUGCGUAGAUAUAUGGAGGAACACCGGUGGCGAAAGCGGCUCUCUGGCCUGUAACUGACACUGAGGCUCGAAAGCGUGGGGAGCAAACAGGAUUAGAUACCCUGGUAGUCCACGCCGUAAACGAUGAGUGCUAGAUGUAGGGAGCUAUAAGUUCUCUGUAUCGCAGCUAACGCAAUAAGCACUCCGCCUGGGGGAGUACGACCGCAAGGUUGAAACUCUAAA